This 561-nucleotide ribosomal RNA is filed under the name uncultured bacterium. Its description in RNAcentral is "bacterial SSU rRNA". It matches the Rfam family "Bacterial small subunit ribosomal RNA", at positions 340 to 894 of the family's 1533-position model. The record is from RNAcentral.
UACGGGAGGCAGCAGUGGGGAAUUUUGGACAAUGGGCGAAAGCCUGAUCCAGCCAUGCCGCGUGCAGGAUGAAGGCCUUCGGGUUGUAAACUGCUUUUGUACGGAACGAAAAGACUCCUUCUAAUAAAGGGGGUCCAUGACGGUACCGUAAGAAUAAGCACCGGCUAACUACGUGCCAGCAGCCGCGGUAAUACGUAGGGUGCAAGCGUUAAUCGGAAUUACUGGGCGUAAAGCGUGCGCAGGCGGUUAUGUAAGACAGAUGUGAAAUCCCCGGGCUCAACCUGGGAACUGCAUUUGUGACUGCAUAGCUAGAGUACGGCAGAGGGGGAUGGAAUUCCGCGUGUAGCAGUGAAAUGCGUAGAUAUGCGGAGGAACACCGAUGGCGAAGGCAAUCCCCUGGGCCUGUACUGACGCUCAUGCACGAAAGCGUGGGGAGCAAACAGGAUUAGAUACCCUGGUAGUCCACGCCCUAAACGAUGUCAACUGGUUGUUGGGUCUUCACUGACUCAGUAACGAAGCUAACGCGUGAAGUUGACCGCCUGGGGAGUACGGCCGCAAGGU